UACGAAGGGGGCUAGCGUUGCUCGGAAUCACUGGGCGUAAAGCGCACGUAGGCGGAUUGUUAAGUCAGGGGUGAAAUCCUGGAGCUCAACUCCAGAACUGCCUUUGAUACUGGCGAUCUUGAGUCCGGGAGAGGUGAGUGGAACUGCGAGUGUAGAGGUGAAAUUCGUAGAUAUUCGCAAGAACACCAGUGGCGAAGGCGGCGAUCUGGGUUGAUACUGACGCUGAGGUGCGAAAGCGUGGGGAGCAAACAGG
RNAcentral lists this ribosomal RNA (253 nucleotides) under uncultured bacterium. RNAcentral describes it as "partial 16S ribosomal RNA". It matches the Rfam family "Bacterial small subunit ribosomal RNA", at positions 524 to 776 of the family's 1533-position model. The record is from RNAcentral.